RNAcentral lists this RNase P RNA (459 nucleotides) under Hymenobacter taeanensis. RNAcentral describes it as "Bacterial RNase P class A". It matches the Rfam family "Bacterial RNase P class A". From Rfam's summary of the family: Ribonuclease P (RNase P) is a ubiquitous endoribonuclease, found in archaea, bacteria and eukarya as well as chloroplasts and mitochondria. Its best characterised activity is the generation of mature 5'-ends of tRNAs by cleaving the 5'-leader elements of precursor-tRNAs. Cellular RNase Ps are ribonucleoproteins. The record is from Rfam by way of RNAcentral. Lineage: Bacteria; Pseudomonadati; Bacteroidota; Cytophagia; Cytophagales; Hymenobacteraceae. RNAcentral also lists the same sequence under 1 other name.
GUGAUGAGUCGCCUCACCGCGGCGCCGCAAAGCGACGAGGAAAGUCCGGGCAACGCAGAGCACCCUGCUUCCUAACGGGAAGGACUGAGAAGCGUAAAGUAACUCAGGACAGCCAGUGCCACAGAAAAUUACCGCCAAGCGGUGAAGUUGUGAAAAGUGAAAUUGUGAACCGUAAGGCUUUCACAACUUCACAAACUCUCAAUUUCACAUUUGGUAAGGGUGAAAAGGUGCGGUAAGAGCGCACCAGCGGCUGGGCAACCAUGCCGGCUGGGUAAACCUCAGGGGUUGAAAGACCAAAUAAGCUGGCACGCGGGUCCCUCGGGGCCGGCACCGGGCGGCUCGUCCGGCGUCAGCGGGUAGGUUGAUGGAGCCUUUCCGCGAGGACUGGCCUAGAUAAAUGGUGAGGCCGCUUCUGCUUGCAGGGGCGGACAAAACCCGGCUUACAGACUCAUCACUCAG